CCUACGGGUGGCUGCAGUGGGGAAUAUUGCACAAUGGGCGCAAGCCUGAUGCAGCCAUGCCGCGUGUGUGAAGAAGGCCUUCGGGUUGUAAAGCACUUUCAGCGGGGGGAAGGCGGUGAGGUUAAUAACCUCAUCGAUUGACGUUACCCGCAGAAGAAGCACCGGCUAACUCCGUGCCAGCAGCCGCGGUAAUACGGAGGGUGCAAGCGUUAAUCGGAAUUACUGGGCGUAAAGCGCACGCAGGCGGUCUGUCAAGUCGGAUGUGAAAUCCCCGGGCUCAACCUGGGAACUGCAUUCGAAACUGGCAGGCUAGAGUCUUGUAGAGGGGGGUAGAAUUCCAGGUGUAGCGGUGAAAUGCGUAGAGAUCUGGAGGAAUACCGGUGGCGAAGGCGGCCCCCUGGACAAAGACUGACGCUCAGGUGCGAAAGCGUGGGGAGCAAACAGGAUUAGAUACCCGAGUAGUC
Molecule: ribosomal RNA, 464 nt
Filed under: uncultured Klebsiella sp.
Lineage: Bacteria; Pseudomonadati; Pseudomonadota; Gammaproteobacteria; Enterobacterales; Enterobacteriaceae
Description: bacterial SSU rRNA
Rfam family: Bacterial small subunit ribosomal RNA
Source: RNAcentral